This 6972-nucleotide long non-coding RNA is filed under the name Triticum aestivum (bread wheat). RNAcentral's name for it is "long non-coding RNA (TAES_LNC025532)". Lineage: Eukaryota; Viridiplantae; Streptophyta; Magnoliopsida; Poales; Poaceae. The record is from RNAcentral.
CGAGCCACCUCUUUUCAUCUCUAUUUCGUAUAUUUUCGUCUACGUUUAGUCCCACAUUGCCUAGCCUUUGACCUCUAAGCCUCUUUUCCACCAAUAAAUAUAGACCCAUAGAGCCUCCAAAAAUCAUCCGAUUCGGGUUAAAUCAAUAUUUUGGUUUGAUUAGAUUCAUUUAAGAAAAAUAUAUUUCUCCUCUCCGGUGCGACUUCUGGAAAUUGUCUCUUCUCUCCAAAGUCGUCUUUUCUCUGCCUUAUAAAGGUAUCUUUCUUUGUUUUUUUCUUUUUCUUAUACUUCCGUAGUUUAUUAUUUUUAGACUAAUACGAUAGAAUAAUUAGAUUAUCAAUUAGUCUACGUAUUUAUACUUUAGACCCUAACCGUAGCUUGGUUUUGACGUUUUACGAAUUGUUUUCUUUGUUCUCUCUGAUCUUUGAGUGAUUGCUUAUUUGUGGUUACUAUUGCUUGCUUACGAUAGAUUGACCGGAGUGUGACGAGUAGAACUAUAAAGAGUUUUGAGUGCGAAUCAUCUUCAUCAACAUUGUAGGCAAGUUCACACUUUGAUCAUAUUCCUUUCAUACCCAAUUUUUAUGCAUUAGUUUCAACCUCAAACAUUGCGUGAGUAGGAUUGAUAACAUGUGGGUAUUGGGAAGUAGUUGAUGAGGUAGGAACCUCUCGCCCUGCAUUCAAACCUUGGGAGUUACUAUUACGUUAUGCUUAUAUUUCCAUGCUAUACUCGUAGACGUGGAUUGGGUUUGAGAGUAUUCAUGAUAGAUGUGAGAUUGUUAAUUAAUGGUUUACUUAAGGUGGCAACUUUAACACACAUCCGGGUGGAUUGAGGCACCUGGGUAUUCCAGCGAUUGCCUGUCUAGGCACCUGAGUAUUCCAGGAUUGCCUGUUUUUUAUGGACCGCCACCCAGGCUCAAAGGGAUCAUGAGAUUAUUCAUACUAGAAACUUCCGUGCGCAUCGACAAGCUAUUAUGGGCUCUAGCAUAGUUGAUUAAGUCGUGUGAACUCUUACAGUGGUAGACUAGCAGAUGUAGGGGUUGUAGGUGGUACGGUCUACCCAUCGUAAGGUGCAAACGCUUCUGAAAGACUAUGUCUCGGUCAUCCAUUUCUCAAACACCAUGUAGUGUGAGAAAUCCAACGGAGGAGAUCGAAUCUUGUGGGGAAAAGUGCGCAAACCUCUGCAGAGUGUAUAAACUAAUCAUGAUUAGCCGUGUCCCCGGUUAUGGACGUCUUGAGUAUCUAGUACUUGGAUUAUCAUGUGAAUCUCAUCAUGUUACUUUAAAUUAAGUUUGUUGGGUUUAAUGAAGUUACUUAAUUGGGAUUGAGAAUGCUGUCAACCAUUCUCGAUGUUCAACAACCACCAUGAUAGUUAAAUAAAAUUUAUUCCUUUGCAGUAGGGAAAAAUUGGCUUUUCGCAAAAACCUUAUAACCAUAGAGCUUUUCCACCACCCAUAUAUGCAUGUAGUGAUAGCCAUUGUUCAUCAUUUCUCUCUAUGGUGUGAAUUUGCUAGUACAUUCAAUGUACUGACCCUUUGUGGCCGCAACGUCUCAUGUUGCAGGAUUAUCUUACGACGAGUAAGUGAUACGUUAGGGUUACGAUUUCUACACUCAACUUUGCCGUUGGUGUUGAUGGGAAUCCACAACCUUGUUACUUCCGCUAUUUUGGAUUGAGGUAAUACUAUUUACGUUACCUUUACAUGUGAUUUACCUCUGUUAUAAAUCCUCGAGUACUGUGUGUGUCAGCAUACCGAUCCAGGGAUGACACUUAAGCACAGAGACUUGAUCCAUUCGGGUCGGGUCGCUACAAGAUGGUAUCAGAGCACAUGUUGGCUGUAGGACGUGACCCCUAGAAACUGGCAAUCCCAUAGGAAAGAUUUUUCUCUACAACUUUCUUUUCAAAAGGAUCUUUUACCUCUCUUCUCUUUUGAGCUUAUUCAAAUAUACCCUUUUAGUGAGACCAUACCCCUUUUCAUUUUUUAACCACUCGAAGAUUCGGCUGAUGAGACUACUCCAAGAAGUACAAGAUAUGGGACCACUAAGACCACAUGGGAAUGAAGAGGAUUUUACCGUAUAUUAUAAUGAUGGAAACUACAACGGUUGAAGACACCGAAGACUAGGGGAAUCUGAAGGCCCUGUAGAAUUUUCCAGAUUUGUAUGACCUAGGAAGGCACCCCUUAUGGAACUUGGCAGACUAAGGAAGCCGUCAAUACCUGAGAUCAAGGUGUAUCAGAGAAAGACCGAGUAUGGAGAGUUAAAAACCUCAAAGUUUUGUCAAGAAAACCCUAAGGCAGGAGAUAUCAACUAUGGAAGAUAGCUCAUGGCAAUGACAAGGGCAGAAACACGGUUAUCCCUGAUGUCAUCGCCACUGAUACUAUGGUCACCGAGCUGAGCUAAGCAUGCAUUUCUUCAGAAGGAUUGGAUGGUAGAAGGCUGAUGGAGCAUCUAUCAACAAAGGAUGCAGUUUUAACCUUAGCUGGUGUAUCACCAAGAUCUGGAGAAUUACAUCAGGAAUUUUAAGAUGGACCUGCAGGAAGCCAUAUUUUGACAAGGAAGCAUUUCGUGAAGAACUUAGGUCCAAGAAGCUGAAGUAGCCAAGCUGGAGGAGCAAAACCUCGAGAUACCAGAGAUUCGUCAUGAACUGAAGGACAGUAGGACCAUGGUUCACGCAAAGGAUGUUGAAACCAAAAGUUUGGAACACAACUCUAGAAUAUUAAAGGACGUCACGAGAGACUUCGCGUCAACAUAGUUGAUCUGGCAAAAGAACUUGAGAAAGAAAAGCAUGAUCGGAAGAAGCCAUUGGAGGCAUGAACAAGGCUUGAAGAGUUUGGAGACGUUGAAUAUUUAUUGACCUUUAGAAGACCAAACCCCUGUUAUAUACCUACGUUAGAUGCGAUGUUUGUGAGCUGUCAUUUGUUUGAUGUUUUUCCUGAUAGCCACAAAUAAAAUCUGUCUUUUCAAAACUUUUGUUUGUAUUGUGUGUAUCCCACUCUAUCUCUCUUAUCUCACCCCAAACCAAUGGACCCAAUAGAGGAUGAAUGAAGAUGAGCUUAUAUUUUCUGGACCGAUGAGUCAAUUGGAGACGGACCAAUGGAUUCAGAACAUGGAGGAUCACAUGAAGAAUAACCCUAUAGUCAAAAAGGAUAUGACCCAGCAUGCUCUUCAAUGCUUUGAAAGAGGUGCUGCUACUUGGUGGAGGAUGUACCAAACCAUCAAUGGAUGGCAAGGAGUAACCACUUGGAAAGAAUUUAAGUUGACUCUGCCAAAGUCUCGACUUGUGUCCCGAAAGUUGAAGCCUUAUGGAAAGGAUAUGAAGAAACCUUGUGCAUGCAAGAUUUGUGGAGAAAUAGGACACACCCAUAAAGAACACAAGGAUGAAUGCCCUAAUUGUGAAGGAAGUCACCCAGUUGAAGAAUGCCCAACUAGGCAGAUUACUUGUUUCUUGUGUGAAGGGACUACCCACUAUCCUACUCAGUGUCACAUUUACCCCAUGGUACAACGAACCAUCUAGCAGAAGAAAGAAGUAAUGAAAGGAGCCCUCAUGGAAAUUUUAGAAGAAGCUGUGAUGAAGGAAGAGAUGGAGGACACACCUAAAGAAGACCCGAGUAAACCCUGCACUAAGUCUUGCUAUUCAUGUGGAGAAGAAGGACACAUCUCCCAAAAUUGUUUGAAUGGGGAUCUAGUAGAAUUCCCGACAGAGGAAGUAGAAUAUGACCCACAGGAAAUAGAAGCCCUGAUUGGAAUGGAAAAGUCCAGGAAGAGAAACCGAUUGGAGCCCAGGAGGGACCUGAGUCAUAUCACCUGUUACAGGUGCAAGGAGUCAGGGCACUACCUCAAUAGUUGCCCAAAAAGGGAACCUCGAGACUUGUCAGAAGUAAUAUGCUUUAGUUGUAAUGGAGCAGGGCACUUUGCCAGAGAAUGCCCCAAGGAGAAGGAAACUUGUGCUAGAUAGUUGAGUUUGCAACAAAAGAAAUGGAGUAGUAGAAGUGAGAACAUUUUCUUUUAUGUUGAGGCGUUGAGUUGAGACAUGUAAUGGAAAAGUGAGAGAUUGUAAUCACUUGAGAAUGAAUAAAGUUAGCAUCGUUGGUACUGAUAUGGAUUUUAUGAGUUGUUACUCUAUGAAGAAGAAUUUUGGGCAUUCUGAGGAUAUGAGAAAUAUGGUCUAUGGAAGAUUUGUGCAUUUCAAGGGUGGUAGUACCCUGUAAGAACCGUUGACCCCUGGAAAAGAUAAGGAUACUCCACUGAGUGGAUUUCGGACAAAAUGAAUAUGAGUUUUGUCUCGAUAUGUGUGAUACCCCAAGAGUAUGUGGGAUGAAGUUGGAGACCGUCAGUUGUUUGGACAAAAUGUGAGCAAGGAGUCAAAAGAGAAUGUUAAGUUUAUUGGAGAUAGACUGAAGGUAGCUCAGUCCAGGAAGAAGAGUUAUGUGGAUUAAAAAACUCAAGGAGGUAGUCUAUGAAAUUGGAGACAAAGCAUGUCUUCGUGUGACCCCUCUGCGAGGAGUUAAACGAUUUGGAGUUAAGGGACAGUUAGCCCCGAGAUUUGUAGGACCAUACCGAGUUUUGGAGCAUAUGGGAGAAGUGGCCAACAAGUUGGAGUCACCUGAAGGACUGUCAGGAGUUCAUGAUAUGUUUCACGUUUCCCAGUUGAAGAAAUGCCAUGCAGAGAUGGCCAAUAUUCCCCUGUAAGGACGCUUGACCUUGGAAAGGAUAAUGACGUUCCAUGAAGUGGAAUAUGGACUUCAUAAGUAUAAGCUUUUAUCUCGGUAUGAGGUAUAUCCCACGAGGAUGAAGAGAUGAAUUACUAUUGGAUAUAAAGGAGGUAUGAAGUUGGAAGUUGGAAUAAUAAUCAGUAGCCCCUAGGAUGAGCUCAAGGAUUACAAAGUAAUGAGAUGGGCCAUAACCCACAGGCCCCAGGACCUACCAGAAGCAAGCACAUCCUUGCUGAAGGAAAAAAACUAGAAGAAGUUACGAUUUUAUCGAUAGACGAUCUUAUAGGAGUAACGCAAAACCCGAGAGUUGUGAAGGAACGAUAGAUGCUUGUUUGGCUUGCAGAAUCAAUGGAUUAUUCCGAAUGCAGUUCAUGGACAAGAGAAAUUCUGCAAUGCUAGUGAGGAUGACCGAGUGUUAGAAUGCGAGAUUCGCUAAACCGUAUACAAGGUAAUGAUUUGGGUGCGGGAUGGAUUGAUCACCAUACCGACUUACUCUUAUUAUUCGCCUUGCUAUAUGGGAUGGUAAAUCUGAGAUACUUACCUAUAGUGGAGAGACGACGAUCAAAACCUUGUUUAAGCCUUAGAAUGGUAUAGGUAUUUUUCCCUUGUACAAGGCAAUUUUUGCCAACCGUAGGUUAUACGGUGAGGAUCAACCCAGACCCAUUUCCUGCAGGAGAAACCAUGAUUGGAUUACCACCAUGAGAUAUUGAUAGUUGAUUAGUAUUGGCGCCAGACCCGGCAGCUAAGAAGACCCAGUCUCGAAAGAACCUUACCUAGAUGAAAGGCAAAAUAAUUGUGGUAAAGGUUAUGCCACUACCGGAAGAGCCCGGAUAAGGAAUUAUCCCGAAGAUCCAAGAAGACCAACACUGUUAACAAUAAAAAUGGAGUAAAUGAGUUUUGAUGGAACUGUAACCAUGCUUCUAAGGGUGGUAGCACCCCAGACCCGGAGACGAUGGAUGAAAUUUUGAAGAGACCCCGAACCUAACCUAUUUCUUUCUAGCCUCUCCGAAUCUUGAGGACGAGAUUCCUUUUAAGGGUGGUAGGUUCGUAACAUCCCAAAAUUCUAAAUUUUGGAAUAUUAUAAUAAAUAGAUAGAUUUGAUUGAUUGUUUGAUUGAUUGUGUGAAAUUGAGUGAAAUUCGAAACCUUUUUGAAAGUUAAAUGAGAGGGAAUAAAAGGACUUUCCCAAACUUUCAUUUUGCAUUUAUGAUCUUCGUGAAUUCAAAUUCUUUUCAAAUACAAAACCCUAGAGAGAAGAUGACAUGACUUCUUCCAUUUAAAUAAAUGAAAAGAGUGUUUAAAAAAUAUUUGAAUUCCAUUGGGAAAUAUUUUCCAAUUCAGAAACUUUAUGCAACUCAAUGAUUUUCACGAGAGAAGAUAAAAUGACUUCUUCAAAUUAUGAAAUAUGAGUUGGGAGUUUCAAAGGUCACAUUUAAAGUCCUUUUAGAAUUUAUUUUCAAUUUGGAGUUAUUUGAGUUUUAUUCAAAUUAUUUUUCUCCAAAAAUAAAAUAUAUGGAAAAUAGGGUAACAUGAUUCCCUACAUCAGAAAAUUGGAGAUAAAUAAAUUUGAAUUCAUUCUGGUAUUUCUAAAAUGAUUUUUAUUGGAUUUUAUUAGACCGGUAGCACUAUUUGAAUUAUCUGAAUUUGUGUGAAUUUUAUUUAAUGCUAGGAAAAUGUUCAUCUUAUAGAAAAUCUUUUUUUCAAAAUUUUGAUACAUAAUAUGCCUAUAUAAAGUUUUAUUUUUAUUUUUGUUUUUCAGUUUAUCGCAUUCUGUAAAAAAAAUAACAAAAACUGCGCGCGCCUGAAACUAACUGUCGCCCACGUGCGCAUCAUAGUACCAGCGGACGCCCUAUUUUUUUAUUCUUUAUCCUAUAUGGGCCAGGCCCAGCCAGCCUUUUCAUUUUUCCUUUCUUAGGCCGAUUUUGUUUAAAAAAACCGCAGCCGCAGCGUGCGCGUGCGGCCGGCCGAAGGCCUUUAGGCCCAUGUGAGCCACCUCUUUUCAUCUCUGUUUCGUAUAUUUUCGUCUACGUUUAGUCCCACAUUGCCUAGCCUUUGACCUCUAAGCCUCUUUUCCAUCAAUAAAUAUAGACCCAUAGAGCCUCCAAAAACCAUCCGAUUCGGGUUAAAUCAAUAUUUUGAUUUGACUAGAUUCAUUUAAGAAAAAUAUAUUUCUCCUCUCCGGCGCGACUUCUGGAAAUUGUCUCUUCUCUCCAAAGUCGUCUUUUCUCUGCCUUAUAAAGGUAUCUUUCUUUGUUUUUUCUUUUUCU